This is a long non-coding RNA of Oncorhynchus tshawytscha (Chinook salmon), 420 nucleotides long. The record is from Ensembl. NCBI's taxonomy places the organism in Eukaryota, Metazoa, Chordata, Actinopteri, Salmoniformes, Salmonidae.
CACUGAGGAGGUGUGUCCUAGUAGGAAGACCACUGUUAACACUGAGGAGGUGUGUCCUAGUAGGAAGACCACUGUUAACACUGAGGUGGUGUGUCCUAGUAGGAAGACCACUGUUAACACUGAGGAGGUGUGUCCUAGUAGGAAGACCACUGUUAACACUGAGGAGGUGUGUCCCAGUAGGAAGACCACUGUUAACACUGAGGAGGUGUGUCCUAGUAGGAAGACCACUGUUAACACUGAGGAGGUGUGUCCUAGUAGGAAGACCACUGUUAACACUAAGGAGGUGUGUCCUAGUAGGAAGACCACUGAGGUGGUGUGUCCUAGUAGGAAGACCACUGAGGAGGUGUGUCCUAGUAGGAAGACCACUGUUAAAACUGAGGAGGUGUGUCCUAGUAGGAAGACCACUGAGGUGGUGUGUCC